RNAcentral lists this ribosomal RNA (414 nucleotides) under Boana boans group sp. ABGD cluster 15. Its description in RNAcentral is "partial large subunit ribosomal RNA". It matches the Rfam family "Archaeal large subunit ribosomal RNA", at positions 1927 to 2490 of the family's 2987-position model. The record is from RNAcentral. Lineage: Eukaryota; Metazoa; Chordata; Amphibia; Anura; Hylidae.
CUUGAAUAAAAUAAGAGGUCCAGCCUGCCCAGUGAAAUUAUUCAACGGCCGCGGUAUCCUAACCGUGCGAAGGUAGCGUAAUCACUUGUUCUUUAAAUGAGGACUAGUAUGAAUGGCACCACGAGGGUUCUACUGUCUCCUUUUUUUAAUCAGUGAAACUAAUCUCCCCGUGAAGAAGCGGGGAUCUUUAUAUAAGACGAGAAGACCCUAUGGAGCUUUAAACAACCAACAUUUGCUACACCAUAACAUUUUCCCUAAAAGAAGUAUAGCAUUAUGAUUAUUAGUUUUCGAUUGGGGUGAUCACGGAGUAAAAUAUAACCUCCAUGCCGAAAGGGUUCUUACCCUGAGCAAAAAGCCACAGCUUUAAGCACUAAAAAAUUAACGCAGUUUGACCCAAUAUUUUGAUCAACGAAC